Molecule: long non-coding RNA, 1430 nt
Filed under: Triticum aestivum (bread wheat)
Lineage: Eukaryota; Viridiplantae; Streptophyta; Magnoliopsida; Poales; Poaceae
Description: long non-coding RNA (TAES_LNC002779)
Source: RNAcentral
CAAACUAAAACAAGCUUCUACCUCCCUUGUUGGUUGUUCUUCAGGUUGAAUGAAUCGUCACACCAAGACCAAGAUAGACCUUCCUUGUGUUUAAUAGAAAAGCAUGGCCAAUCUUCAUACCUCGUGUAGCCUCGCCCGGAGAUCAGAAUUUUGGGUGGCGACAAAGCAGUGCUCCCAGGAUUUUUAUCUUAUCCGUAGCCUCCCGUAGCCACUGCAUCGACCACUUUGUCAUCGUCGCAACUGAACACACAAAUAAAAUUCCAGAUAAAAAACAAUCCGAGCUUCUUCUCCAUGUAACGAUAACGUAAAACUAUCAUCACUGAAUGUAGUAUUAGUAUGAAUACACUCAACACACAAUAGAAGUCCAUUGAACAAUCAGUGAUUCAAACUCGUGUAAAACUAUAGUAAAGCUACCAUUCAUGGAUGACUAAACAUGGUAGUAGUACUUCAUACAAUCAAACCGACAAAAUAGCAAGCGCUAGGCUCUACUACCUCCUUUCGAAAAUGACUUGUCGCUCAAACGGAUGUAUCUAGUGCUAGAUACAUCCAUUCGAGCGACAAGUGAUUCCGGGCGGAGUGAGUAUGAUUUAGGAAUAGACACGAUCUCUAUGGUGCGAAUCCAUGCUAAACAAGGCAAAAAAUAAUACAAAUUCAGUUUCACAAAAGUAUCAACUCUGAACCUUUGAUACAUCAUGGCAUGUGAUCUAUAUCUUCAGGAAAGGGGCAAAUUUUAGUACACCAAACGCCCUGUAUCUCAACAGCCAGUGCAUUUUCUUUGUGCGCAAAGUAACUUUGGUGGGAACUUAACUAACCUUGUAAGCACCAGUUAAAGCAUGGAACCAAUGCAUGUCACCCUAAUUAAAUUAACUAUGUAAACAGUAGGGGAACUCAUAGCUGUUAGACUAUCAUGGCCAAAAGAUUGACAGCCACCAUCACAAGCUACCAACCACGGUUCGAUGGCUGGCAAGAAGAGGGGUCAUAGCUCCAAGGCUAUGUCCCAGAGCAAGUGGAACAAAGGCGAGGAGCUAGGAAAACUGGGAACUUACCAGCCGAGGCCGUAAAGCAACGCCGCUAAGGCGUCAUAGUAGAGGCGACGUGCACCAAACCAAGCCUUCAACCUUGCACGCAUGGGCGCCCAACAACCGUCGCCGGAGACCACGAGGGCGACCACCAAGUCGCACCGAUGAGAUCCAUAGGUCUGCAUGCAUGUCAAGGGUGAAUGCCAGGACCAACAUGUUCAAUACAUCAAGAUUAGUUGCUAUAAAACAUGAGCAUCAUGUUGACUCCAGGAGCAAACCAAAAGACGACCAACAGUAGGAAAAAUAUUAUCAUCGCUAAAAGCAUGACAAUUCACAUCACAGAAUCAACCAUGGCUCCAUGGCCGGCAUGAAGAGGGGGCCAUAGCUUGAAAGAUAUGUCACAGAGCUAAG